GAGAGAGGCUUGCUAGCAACAAAGACUGCUAAUCUUUGUAGUUUCGGUUGGACUCCGGAACUCCCCCA
This 68-nucleotide transfer RNA is filed under the name Tridentiger bifasciatus (Shimofuri goby). Its description in RNAcentral is "tRNA-Ser". The record is from RNAcentral. Lineage: Eukaryota; Metazoa; Chordata; Actinopteri; Gobiiformes; Gobiidae.